GGGAAUUGGGCUGAGUAUUGUUAUCUUCCAAUGGUUGUGGUAACUUCAUCUUCUCUUGACUUGCUUCACUAGUUGGCUUCUUGGCUCGUCUAUUUCGACUAGGUUGAAAUUCUUUGAAAAAGAUACUCCAACCCUCAAGGUUCCUAGUCUGAGUACUAUCUUUAUCUUGAAUAUCUUCCUCUAGGACUGGUCCUUGGGCAUACAACUUUCUCUUCUUAUUAAUGUCUAAAUAAUAACGUUGUCUCGCUUCAGCUGUCAUUAGGCUAUCUUCUUUUUGGAGACAUGGAAGUCCAUGGUGUUCACAACAUUGACAUGUUCCUAGAAUCUUAACAUCCACAUGUUGUCUCUCCAUUUCCAGCUCUGGCGCUUCACGACUUGUCUUGUUCCUUUGACGGUUCCCUGCUUCAGCAACUUGCCUCUUCACUGGUUCAGUGGGAAUUCUAGCCUUG
This 449-nucleotide long non-coding RNA is filed under the name Setaria viridis. RNAcentral's name for it is "long non-coding RNA (SVIR_LNC005740)". The record is from RNAcentral. Lineage: Eukaryota; Viridiplantae; Streptophyta; Magnoliopsida; Poales; Poaceae.